CCCAAAACCCUUUUGGUCCUAUUUCAUUUCUUCUCCCAAAAUCAAACCCCUCGACCCUCUAAAUUAAAGUAUCAAACCCUCCUUCCUUCUUUAGUCUUCUUCUGUUCUUUAUCAUUCUCUGGGUUUAUUCAUUUCCUUGUGGGCUGUUUCUCACCUGUUUUCUCUGGGUUGUACUUGUUUCAUCAGCCUACCUCCAAAGAAACCUUGUCUACUUAAAUGUCGAUGGUAGACUUUUCAUCAUUGGGUCCAUAACUGAAUUUGUUGCAGAACUAAACAUCGCAGCUAUGUUCGAAAAACGAUUUUCAAUACAAGGGAAAGUCACCUUCUCUAAGCGACGAAACGGGUUGUUGAAGAAGGCUUAUGAUGGAUGCUCGUGAGAAGAAGUAUAAGGCUCUCCUCAACGAUUGUAUGGUAAACGGGACAUCGAGUAAGUGAAAUACUUACUAAUAGAACUAGAUUGUCAAUAAGCUUCCUGAUGGUUUAAUAUAGAUUGAUUGUUGUUAUUUGGCUAUUUGUCUGUGUUGUAACUGAACGUUAGGUUCUUAUUUGAUGUCUUCAUUGUUUUCUCAACCAAUAAUUAAUGGAUAUACUGAUGAAAAUUGUUGAUUUAGCUUCAA
Molecule: long non-coding RNA, 617 nt
Organism: Gossypium raimondii (Peruvian cotton)
Lineage: Eukaryota; Viridiplantae; Streptophyta; Magnoliopsida; Malvales; Malvaceae
Exons: 3
Source: RefSeq, a predicted model, not a curated record